UGCAAAUACUGGUGAAGUCUUUAGUGGAAGAAAAAUUUCAGGUUUCCAUAUUGCCAAAUAGAGUAAAUUUCUUCUCUCUUUUUCAAAGAGGAGCCUAGUUCAGGAUUUAUAAAGUUUCUUAGUGUGUGUUUUAAAUGGCUUUACAUUUUUUUCCCUUCUUCUUUUUGACAGGAGUCUUUUAGUCCUGCUAUACAGCUGCACCUUGUACAUCAAGCUCCAAGUAAUGUUCCUCCUUACCUCUCAAAGAAUGAAUCAAACCUUGGGGACCUCUUACUGGGCUUUCUUAAAUAUUAUGCUACAGAAUUUGACUGGAAUAGUCAAAUGAUUUCAGUUCGUGAAGCCAAAGCCAUUCCAAGGCCUGAUGGUAUUGAAUGGAGAAAUAAAUACAUCUGUGUAGAAGAACCUUUUGAUGGAACAAAUACAGCCAGAGCAGUGCACGAAAAGCAGAAAUUUGAUAUGAUCAAGGAUCAAUUUUUAAAGUCAUGGCACAGAUUGAAAAACAAGAGAGAUUUGAACAGUAUA
This 522-nucleotide small RNA is filed under the name Pan troglodytes (chimpanzee). RNAcentral's name for it is "retained intron". The record is from RNAcentral. Lineage: Eukaryota; Metazoa; Chordata; Mammalia; Primates; Hominidae.